This 75-nucleotide transfer RNA is filed under the name Actinomycetota bacterium. Its description in RNAcentral is "tRNA-Arg". It matches the Rfam family "tRNA". From Rfam's summary of the family: Transfer RNA (tRNA) molecules are approximately 80 nucleotides in length. Their secondary structure includes four short double-helical elements and three loops (D, anti-codon, and T loops). Lineage: Bacteria; Bacillati; Actinomycetota. The record is from RNAcentral.
GCGCCCGUAGCUCAAUCUGGAUAGAGCGUCUGACUACGGAUCAGAAGGUUGGGGGUUCGAGUCCCUCCGGGCGCG